GGAGGAUCACGAGUUCAGACCCAGCCUCAGCAAUUUAGUGAGGCCCUAAGCAACUCAAUCAGACCCUGUCUCUAAAUAAAAUAUAUAAAAAAAUGGCUGAGUAUGGGGUUCAGUGGUCAAGCGCCCCUGGGUUCAAUCCUGGUACCAAAAAAAAAGUACCCUUUAGAGUGCAUGAUAUAUCAUAAGUGCUAAAAAAAAACCCACCUAAUUAGACUCCUGCUGUAUUUCUCUCUAUGUAUUUUGAAUAACUACCUUACUCUGUGUUCUGUUUAAUUAGGGUAGUUUUUGGAAAAACUAAGUACAGCAUUUUAAAUGGCUUAUGAUUCAGAAUGGCUUCACCCCAGUGUGUCUCCACCUACAAAAUUCAAAUGUUGAUUCCCUAAGUCCAGUGGGGUGGUGUUUGGAGAUGAUGCUUUGGGGAAAUGAUCCGGUUUAAAUGAGGUUGUGCGGGUGGGCCCUGACUAUGAGAUUAAUACCUUUAUCAAAAGAGACCUGAAGAUCUUGUCUACACUCUCCCUUUCCUGACCUAUGAGGACACAGCAGCUCCUUAAAAGCCAGGAAGUGGGCCCUCACUGGGGAAGUGAAUCCUGAGCACCUUGAUUUUGCUUCUGCCAGCCUCCAGAACAGGUGGAAUUGACUCUUGUUGGAACUCCAUGCAUUGCUGCAAGCCCCUCAUUCUCCAGCAGAAGUCACUUCCAGAGGUUUUACACCUGUAAUCCCAGCUGCUUAGGNAA
This 734-nucleotide long non-coding RNA is filed under the name Marmota monax (woodchuck). Lineage: Eukaryota; Metazoa; Chordata; Mammalia; Rodentia; Sciuridae. The record is from RNAcentral.